CAAUAAGUAGUUUAAUUUAAAAUUUAAGUUUUGGAGACUUAGGAUAUUUCUUAUCUUAUUGA
Molecule: transfer RNA, 62 nt
Filed under: Taharana fasciana
Lineage: Eukaryota; Metazoa; Arthropoda; Insecta; Hemiptera; Cicadellidae
Description: tRNA-Pro
Source: RNAcentral